RNAcentral lists this small nuclear RNA (148 nucleotides) under Medicago truncatula (barrel medic). Its description in RNAcentral is "sRNA gene12736". It matches the Rfam family "U1 spliceosomal RNA". Rfam says of the family: U1 is a small nuclear RNA (snRNA) component of the spliceosome (involved in pre-mRNA splicing). Its 5' end forms complementary base pairs with the 5' splice junction, thus defining the 5' donor site of an intron. The record is from Rfam by way of RNAcentral. Lineage: Eukaryota; Viridiplantae; Streptophyta; Magnoliopsida; Fabales; Fabaceae.
UCACUUACCUGAAUGGGGUCAAUGGUGAUCAAGAAGGCCCAUGGCCUAGGCAAGUGACCUUCAUUGGGUUCUAGUUUAAGGUCUACUCAAGUGGUGGAGCCUACAUUAUAAUUUGUUCCAGUAGGGUUUGCGUUCGCGCGCAACUCGC